GAUGAACGCUGGCGGCGUGCUUAACACAUGCAAGUCGAACGAGCCUUCGGGUUAGUGGCGGACGGGUGAGUAACGCGUGAGAAUCUGCCCUCAGGAGGGGGAUAACGGCUGGAAACGGCCGCUAAUACCCCAUAUGCCGCGAGGUGAAAUGAAUUUCGCCUGAGGAUGAGCUCGCGUCUGAUUAGCUAGUUGGUGGGGUAAGAGCUUACCAAGGCUUCGAUCAGUAGCUGGUCUGAGAGGAUGAUCAGCCACACUGGGACUGAGACACGGCCCAGACUCCUACGGGAGGCAGCAGUGGGGAAUUUUCCGCAAUGGGCGAAAGCCUGACGGAGCAACGCCGCGUGAGGGAUGAAGGCCUCUGGGCUGUAAACCUCUUUUAUCAAGGAAGAAGAUCUGACGGUACUUGAUGAAUAAGCCACGGCUAAUUCCGUGCCAGCAGCCGCGGUAAUACGGGAGUGGCAAGCGUUAUCCGGAAUUAUUGGGCGUAAAGCGUCCGCAGGCGGUCUUUUAAGUCUGCUGUUAAAGCGUGGAGCUUAACUCCAUUUCGGCAGUGGAAACUGGAAGACUAGAGUGUGGUAGGGGCAGAGGGAAUUCCCGGUGUAGCGGUGAAAUGCGUAGAUAUCGGGAAGAACACCAGUGGCGAAGGCGCUCUGCUGGGCCAUAACUGACGCUCAUGGACGAAAGCCAGGGGAGCGAAAGGGAUUAGAUACCCCUGUAGUCCUGGCCGUAAACGAUGAACACUAGGUGUCGGGGGAAUCGACCCCCUCGGUGUCGUAGCCAACGCGUUAAGUGUUCCGCCUGGGGAGUACGCACGCAAGUGUGAAACUCAAAGGAAUUGACGGGGGCCCGCACAAGCGGUGGAGUAUGUGGUUUAAUUCGAUGCAACGCGAAGAACCUUACCAGGGUUUGACAUCCUGCGAAUCUCUUGGAAACGAGAGAGUGCCUUCGGGAACGCAGUGACAGGUGGUGCAUGGCUGUCGUCAGCUCGUGUCGUGAGAUGUUGGGUUAAGUCCCGCAACGAGCGCAACCCACGUCGUUAGUUGCCAGCAUUCAGUUGGGCACUCUAGCGAGACCGCCGGUGAUAAACCGGAGGAAGGUGUGGAUGACGUCAAGUCAUCAUGCCCCUUACAUCCUGGGCUACACACGUACUACAAUGCUACGGACAAAGGGCAGCAAACUCGCGAGAGCUAGCAAAUCCCAUAAACCGUGGCUCAGUUCAGAUCGUAGGCUGCAACUCGCCUACGUGAAGGAGGAAUCGCUAGUAAUCGCAGGUCAGCAUACUGCGGUGAAUACGUUCCCGGGCCUUGUACACACCGCCCGUCACACCAUGGAAGUUGGCCACGCCCGAAGCCGUUACUCCAACCCUUGUGGAGGAGGACGUCGAAGGUGGGGCUGAUGACUGGGGUGAAGUCGUAACAAGG
This 1421-nucleotide ribosomal RNA is filed under the name Synechococcus sp. UBR. RNAcentral describes it as "bacterial SSU rRNA". It matches the Rfam family "Bacterial small subunit ribosomal RNA". The record is from RNAcentral. Lineage: Bacteria; Bacillati; Cyanobacteriota; Cyanophyceae; Synechococcales; Synechococcaceae.